AGAGCCCCGUGGUGUGCAAGCAAACGCAAUGUCCUUUUGGCCAUCAGGAUAUUGUGGAGAUGUAGGCCUUAGGGGUACGCAGGUGAAGACAUGAGUGAAAUGGGCCUGCACUGCCCCUUGCUGACAAGCUCACCAGCCAUGGAACAAGAAGUGCUGCAGAGAAUGGACAUCCUGGGGCUGGGAACAUUCUCUCCUCUCAUCCAGGCUCCCGGAUCACCCCAGGCACAGCCAUCUGCAGAGUGCCUUCCUGCAGUUCUACCUGAGGCUCGAGCAUAAUCCUUCAUACUGGCAAGGAGGGUAUGGAAGGGUGAACAGUGCAGGAGCAGUACCUCCAUGCUGCCCUUCUGUGUCCCCUCUCUGUGGCUGGUUCCCCGGCCUCUUUCCAGACCAUGUGAGUGACAUGGGCAGUGUAGCAAGAGUGAUGUGGAAAGAUACAAAUGCCUUGCAAAUAAAAAUGAAUUGCUUCU
RNAcentral lists this long non-coding RNA (467 nucleotides) under Gallus gallus (chicken). Its description in RNAcentral is "lncRNA (ENSGALG00010025284.1)". Lineage: Eukaryota; Metazoa; Chordata; Aves; Galliformes; Phasianidae. The record is from RNAcentral.